RNAcentral lists this long non-coding RNA (1655 nucleotides) under Piliocolobus tephrosceles (Ugandan red Colobus). RNAcentral's name for it is "lncRNA (ENSPTEG00000006227.1)". The record is from RNAcentral. Lineage: Eukaryota; Metazoa; Chordata; Mammalia; Primates; Cercopithecidae.
UUUUUUUUAUAGUAAACCAGAAGAUGACAGGUGUAAAAUUUGUUUUAAUAAAGAAUAUAGCGAAAUAAUUAAUAAAAGAAGAUAUAAAAAUUUUUUUAUUCUGACAUUUUCAUUUAUCAAAAUAAUCGAUAACUAUAAUAAUAAAGGUUAUUAUAUAUGUAUACAUAUUCAAAUUCGCAAUUAUUGACUCUAUCACAAAACAUAGAUAUACAUUUAUUUGUCCAAAUUGUAUUUUAUAUAUAUUUUUUUUUUAUUUUUAAGAUGAAUAUAUAUCUAUUAACGUAUUAUAUCAAGCUAUUGCUGAAAAAAAAGAAAAUUUUGAAAUUGGGAUAAAAUACAAUUUAAUUGUUGUUCCUAUUCCUAAUAAAGUAAUAAGAAACAGUAUUAGAGGCUCACAAGUUAGUAAUCUCUGGUUGCUAAAUUAUAGAAAACAAAAAAAAAAAAAAAUUGAAAGCAGCAUACUAACAUUAAAGGAAAGCACAACCAUGUCACUAUCAACUGAACAGCUUAACUGUUUACUACGUACUCAAAACUUAAAUGAUAUGAAUAGAAUUAUAACCAACAUAUUGAAGAUACCCCUUCACAGUUCCUGUUUAAAUAAAAUAUGUAAGACGACAAAAUUAACCUUAAUAUUAAUUUGUAUAUGUAGCAAUUUUUUAAAAUAUUUUAAAUUAGAUUCAUGUGCAUAUGAUAUAUAUAACAAGGUAAAUACAAACAAAUGGAUGAAUGCGCCUAUAAAGGGACAUAUGUUGGAAAGAGUAAGAGCGCCUCAUUGUUUUUUUAUGUGCUUAGAUGAAAUAAUAAUAACAGAAUUAGUUAAAUUCUUGAAUUAUUUUUGUAACAUUAAAUUGUUCAACGUCAAAACUGAUUCUUUCAGUGUAUUACUUACUCAAAAAUAUGAUAUAUUAGUUAUAAAUAUGGAUAAUUUAAACACUCCUCAAAUUAAUACAUUAGUAGAAUUAAUGAAAAAUGGAGUAUAUAAAAAUAAAAAAUCAUCAUUUCCAAUAUCGAUUACCUUUUGGGUAUAUAUCGUUAAACCAUAUAUAAGAAGCGACGAAGAACUUGACAAGUAUGUACAAAAUAAUUUAUUAGCUCGUUUUGAUUUUUUGUUUGAGCUUAGUUUUGAAAAAGAUGAUGACGAUGAUGUGAUUGAUGAAAUAUUAAGAAAUGCUGAUGAUGAUAACGAUAAUUAUAAUGAAAUAAAAAAUAAAAUUUUUUUUUCUGAAUUGAUUGAUAAGUAUGCUUACUUAAAAAAAGGGAAUUUAUAUAAUUAUGAAUUUGUUGAAAUGAGUAAUACAACAAAAGCUAUAAUUCAAAAGUAUUUUAAUAUGGCUUCCGAUUCAACAACUUUAACUAUUUACCAUAUAGGCAUUUGUGAGUUAUUAUGUAUAAGUGUGUCCAUUUUAUUAGGAAAAAAGGAAUGCUUAAUAGAACAUGCUGUUUUAGGGAUGUUUUUAUAUGACAACUUUGUAUCAGCUACAAAAAACAAAUUAACUCAAUUCAAAAAAGAAUUUUUAAAUAGUAUACUGAACUGUUUAGAUACUAAAUAUAAUUCGUUACAAAAAUUAAUGAAUUAUUUUUCGACUUAUUUAAAUGCUAAAAAAGAUACGUAACAACAAAAUAAAUUAAUAUUUCAUUACUAAAAUAUUAUUUUA